Molecule: ribosomal RNA, 484 nt
Filed under: uncultured bacterium
Lineage: Bacteria
Description: partial 16S ribosomal RNA
Rfam family: Bacterial small subunit ribosomal RNA
Source: RNAcentral
AUUGAACGCUGGCGGCAGGCCUAACACAUGCAAGUCGAGCGGAUGAAGGGAGCUUGCUCCUGGAUUCAGCGGCGGACGGGUGAGUAAUGCCUAGGAAUCUGCCUGGUAGUGGGGGAUAACGUCCGGACACGGGCGCUAAUACCGCAUACGUCCUGAUGGUGAAAGUGGGGGAUCUUCGGACCUCACGCUAUCAGAUGAGCCUAGGUCGGAUUAGCUAGUUGGUGGGGUAAAGGCCUACCAAGGCGACGAUCCGUAACUGGUCUGAGAGGAUGAUCAGUCACACUGGAACUGAGACACGGUCCAGACUCCUACGGGAGGCAGCAGUGGGGAAUAUUGGACAAUGGGCGAAAGCCUGAUCCAGCCAUGCCGCGUGUGUGAAGAAGGUCUUCGGAUUGUAAAGCACUUUAAGUUGGGAGGAAGGGCAGUAAGUUAAUACCUGGCUGUUUUGACGUUACCAACAGAAUAAGCACCGGCUAACUUCGUG